Molecule: long non-coding RNA, 3080 nt
Organism: Lolium rigidum
Lineage: Eukaryota; Viridiplantae; Streptophyta; Magnoliopsida; Poales; Poaceae
Exons: 5
Source: RefSeq, a predicted model, not a curated record
GAAAAAAUGAACACCGUCCGGGUCAGCGACUCCAUCUCCAUGGGGACCAGGGGCAUGUGCUACAGACUCCAGUCCGGAAACCGUAUCGCCGACAUCAUUGAGACCGUCAUGGGCGUGGAGCGCUAUGGCACCUGGAUGCGACAAGAACGUGAGUGAGCACACCCGGAAACUUCCAGGGAAAUUCAUAUGACAUAGUAUCUGCUUUGCAGCAAGGAGGAAAGAAAGUAUGUCCUCCACAACUCAUGCCCAGGGGCAGGUUCAUGUGGCGGUAUGUACACACCAAAUACAGUGGCAUCCGCAAUUGAGACAAUGGGCAUGAGCCUUUCAUACAGGUGCAAAAUCAUGGUCUACAAACAGAGAAGCAGCAUAUAGGAUCUUAUUCCAAGUCUGGUAUGCCAUGAAACUUGGGGGCUAGGCCAAAACAAUUCAUGUACAUUGAGAACUUAUGAAGAUAUCAUAAGCUAUAUGUACAAAACACCAAUUGGAGAAGAUUUCCAUGCUUGGUGUAACUAUGAACAUAUGGAAUGUACAACGACUCAAGUGAGCUUCUGCUCUUAUUAAAUAGUCCUGAUCCAGCAUCUUUCUAGGUGUGGUUCUGGUCUCAGGAUGAUGCUCAAGUGUUGCCCGUGGUUCAGGUAAAACACCACUGCUUUGUUGGAGCCAUUAUUAACUACACGAUUUUGUUGAAUAAUUCGUCUCAGAAAAAGAAACCUAAAUUUGCACGUAGCUUCGUUAAUUCAGUUUCACAUGAAGGCCACAAAAUUAAUACGAUCAAUGCGCUACUAAAGAAAUAGUAGAGGUCUAUAACUGAUUCUCAUACUUAUUAUGUAUGAUAUCAUAUUGGCAUUUGAGUUGCUUCAGGAUUCCAGAAAUGGUGGCUUGAGAUCUGAGCUAGGUAGCACUGUUCAAGGUGGUAUUUCAGUGUAGUAACCACUUUUGUUUGAUUAUGAAUAUGUUUUGUUGUGUUUUCAUCUAAGCUUGCAAUGUUAAUGGUUUUAAAAUAAUUUAUGAAUUCCUAAUUGCAUCGCUUAAUGGCUAGCGAGCACAUUAUUUGUUAGUAUAUUUCUCAGUUUUCCUUUAUUGUCAUUCACUAACCCCAUUUUUUAUACUGAUUGUCAUGCAUAGUAUCAUACUGUAAAAUUGCUAGAUCGAUGGACUUUGGUAUGCUAUUUAUGUCCCACUCACCCAUGGGCGUCCUUAUCUGUUCCCCUCGUCGGUCAUUUCUCCUUGUUCCUCCAAUAAUCAUGGCUUCUCUCAAUUUUACUAUCCAGCUGCUCUUUCAGCUGCUGCUAGGUUGGAUCAAUUUCUUCGUCGUGCAUCACGGAAGCCUUUGUCGUGCUUUGCGGAAGCUUUCACAGGUCAGCUUCUAUAUAUCUCAUCGUUGCUGGCCAUAUUGGUUGUUUGGUACCAUGUAGAACUUUCACAGGAAGGCCUGGAACACCCAGCUAACAAAACUUCAUGUCUGGUAAGCUAGGUUCGUUGUAGAAGAACCUAAUGAAUUCUUCACUCCACUGAUUACCAUGACAUGCCACAAGUAUAGGUAGGGUACUUUCCUUUUUGAAAUCAGGUAGCAUUUCUUGUGUUUUUGUUCAUGGGGUGGCUCUGAAAAUUGAUCCAAUAAAGAGGGUGCAUAAUGAGCAUCUCUGCUUUGGUCAUACAUGUACUUUAUACUGAACCAAUCAAUCUGUUACGAAAAGGAGGAGACCAUUGUAAUGUACUCUCACUCUCAGCUUCAUAUGUUCAAGCAGAUUGUUGAACAUAUCCCUUAAUUAUCAAUUGAUGUGUCAUGAGCCAGUCCCUUCGCAUUUUCGUACUUCUCAUAUUUAUUCUUUACCAAUCUAUCUAAGCUUGCUUCCUCUUUUACCCAUCGUCUAAAUGCGGUCAAAAUAUUUAUCUAUCAAUUUAGGGAAAGCCUUCUUGAGAAGGCAGCAGCGAUGCCUUAUGUUGAGGUUUCUAAUGGAAUGUAUGCCUUUCCCUUGAUGGCGCAGUCCUUGAAGAAAUUACAUGACGGCAGUAAGUGACCCAGUCUCGACUAUAAAACAUCACAUCUUGUGUGUUUUAUGUUUUUCUGAAGUUUAUUUGUCUGAAGAAAAGUACAUCUAUAUUAUGUAGUAUAGAAGCUUAUACAUGCAAUAUUUCGAGUUAACGUUGCCCACAUCUCUUUUGUAUUUAGUUGCAGAUUGGGGUGUGGAUAGUUUGCUUUAGCUACUUAUGCGCUAGAAAAAUAAUGAAUCAAUUUUGGCGUAUAUAUCGAGGAUAAUGUCUAGAUCCAUUCAUGUAUUUUUGUUUGUGAAAAAGGAAAUACCCAUGAUAGGUAUUACAAAGCAUUAGGUGUAUGUCCUUCAUGAAAGAAAAAAAACAAAGACUAUUCGAGUUGGUAAUGGUUCAAAAUUUUGAAACUCACUACUUCAUGAAAGUGAAAGGGAAACAUACAAGUCCUAACCAAUGGCCUGAUAAAAAUAUUUUGGGGUUACGAUAUUUUAGAAGAGCUCUGAAUAGAGGAGUAGAGGCUUGUCCCUAAUUCUGCAUACAAAAGCCAUCAAUCAGUAUUGGAAACCUGAAAAUAUGAAGGUAAUAAAGGCAUAAAUUGUGUUGAUUCAAAAAGGUAUUUGUCUUAUUCUGAGAAAUUGAAAACUAUUGUGGUUUAUUUGGCUCACUGUAUCCUUCUACUCUUAUUUAGAUUCAUUAGCAUUUUUCCUCAUUGACACACCUUGAACAGGCUUGCCAUUUUCAUAACCUGUUAUUUACAGUGGUACUUUGCUUCUCAGUGGUAAAUGGUAGAUAAUGCUUUCUGUCACAAUUAAAAGAUCACUGUAUCUAUCUACAUUUGUCCUGACAGUUAGACCAUGCAACUCAAAAAGGUUAGAGAUUGAGCUUUCAAGAACAAUAUAAGAAAUAUGUUGCUUUCUCAAUUAGAAGAGUUGUGCCAGAAGAAUACAUGCAUCUACUAGCCAUAUUUCUCGAGACUUUAGUAUAUGUAAGUAACAAUUAUGUAUGUAUAUGGCAGUGUGCUUUGCUCUACCUCAAGACUAUCACUGAUAUGUAUUUCCUUGUGCUCUCCAAUAUGUAACUUUUAUGUA